Molecule: ribosomal RNA, 253 nt
Filed under: uncultured bacterium
Lineage: Bacteria
Description: partial 16S ribosomal RNA
Rfam family: Bacterial small subunit ribosomal RNA
Source: RNAcentral
UACAGAGACUGCAAGCGUUAUUCGGAUUCACUGGGCGUAAAGGGUGCGUAGGUGGUCGGGUAAGUCUGAUGUGAAAUCUCCGAGCUCAACUCGGAAACUGCAUCGGAUACUAUUCGGCUAGAGGGUUGGAGGGGGGACUGGAAUACUUGGUGUAGCAGUGAAAUGCGUAGAUAUCAAGUGGAACACCAGUGGCGAAGGCGAGUCCCUGGACAACUCCUGACACUGAGGCACGAAAGCUAGGGGAGCAAACAGG